Molecule: ribosomal RNA, 254 nt
Filed under: uncultured bacterium
Lineage: Bacteria
Description: partial 16S ribosomal RNA
Rfam family: Bacterial small subunit ribosomal RNA
Source: RNAcentral
UACGUAGGUGGCGAGCGUUGUCCGGAUUUAUUGGGCGUAAAGCGCGCGCAGGCGGUCGCGUAAGUCUGCUGUGAAAUCUCCCUGGCUCAACCGGGAGGGGGCGGCGGAGACUGCGGGACUGGAGGGACCUAGAGGCCGGUGGAAUUCCCGGUGUAGUGGUGAAAUGCGUAGAGAUCGGGAGGAACACCAGUGGCGAAGGCGACUACCUGGCCUGUUCUUGACGCUGAGGCGCGAAAGCUAGGGGAGCGAACGGG